This 497-nucleotide ribosomal RNA is filed under the name uncultured bacterium. Its description in RNAcentral is "partial 16S ribosomal RNA". It matches the Rfam family "Bacterial small subunit ribosomal RNA", at positions 28 to 507 of the family's 1533-position model. The record is from RNAcentral.
GAUGAACGCUGGCGGCGUGCCUAAUACAUGCAAGUCGAGCGAACAGACGAGGAGCUUGCUCCUUCGACGUUAGCGGCGGACGGGUGAGUAACACGUAGGUAACCUACCUAUAAGACUGGGAUAACUUCGGGAAACCGGAGCUAAUACCGGAUAAUAUUUCGAACCGCAUGGUUCGAUAGUGAAAGAUGGCUUUGCUAUCACUUAUAGAUGGACCUGCGCCGUAUUAGCUAGUUGGUAAGGUAACGGCUUACCGAGGCAACGAUACGUAGCCGACCUGAGAGGGUGAUCGGCCACACUGGAACUGAGACACGGUCCAGACUCCUACGGGAGGCAGCAGUAGGGAAUCUUCCGCAAUGGGCGAAAGCCUGACGGAGCAACGCCGCGUGAGUGAUGAAGGUCUUCGGAUCGUAAAACUCUGUUAUUAGGGAAGAACAAACGUGUAAGUAACUGUGCACGUCUUGACGGUACCUAAUCAGAAAGCCACGGCUAACUACGUA